RNAcentral lists this ribosomal RNA (230 nucleotides) under uncultured bacterium. RNAcentral describes it as "partial 16S ribosomal RNA". It matches the Rfam family "Bacterial small subunit ribosomal RNA", at positions 568 to 797 of the family's 1533-position model. The record is from RNAcentral.
UGCGUAGGCGGACUAAUAAGUCAGUGGUGAAAUCUUUCGGCUCAACCGAGAAACUGCCAUUGAUACUGUUAGUCUUGAGUUCGGUUGAGGUAGGCGGAAUGUGUAAUGUAGCGGUGAAAUGCUUAGAUAUUACACAGAACACCAAUUGCGUAGGCAGCUUACUAGACCGACACUGACGCUGAGGCACGAAAGCGUGGGGAGCGAACAGGAUUAGAUACCCUGGUAGUCCA